GUCGCAACUGAAAAGUUGAGGAAAGUCUGGGCAACACAGAGCACCAUACUUCCUAACAGGAAGGCGCAGAGAUGCGACAGAUAGUGCCACAGAAAAUAUACCGCCUAAUAAAAGGUAAGGGUGAAAUCGCGAGGUAAGAGCUCACGCCGUUAGCAGUGAUGUUAACGAGGGUAAACCUUAUGGGUUGAAAGACCAAAUAAACCAGGGUAUGAGGGCUGCUCGUCCGACCUGGAGGGUAGGUUGAUAGAGACUUGUGGCGACACAAGUUCGAGAUAAAUGACAACAUAAAACAGAACCCAGCUUACGGGUUUUCCU
Molecule: RNase P RNA, 315 nt
Filed under: bovine gut metagenome
Description: Bacterial RNase P class A
Rfam family: Bacterial RNase P class A
About the family: Ribonuclease P (RNase P) is a ubiquitous endoribonuclease, found in archaea, bacteria and eukarya as well as chloroplasts and mitochondria. Its best characterised activity is the generation of mature 5'-ends of tRNAs by cleaving the 5'-leader elements of precursor-tRNAs.
Source: RNAcentral